UACGUAGGGCGCAAGCGUUGUCCGGAAUUAUUGGGCGUAAAGAGCUCGUAGGCGGCCAGUUGCGUCUGCUGUGAAAUCCCGGGGCUCAACCCCGGGCUUGCAGUGGAUACGGGCUGGCUGGAGGCAGGCAGGGGAGAACGGAAUUCCCGGUGUAGCGGUGAAAUGCGCAGAUAUCGGGAGGAACACCGGUGGCGAAGGCGGUUCUCUGGGCCUGUACUGACGCUGAGGAGCGAAAGCAUGGGGAGCGAACAGG
This 253-nucleotide ribosomal RNA is filed under the name uncultured bacterium. RNAcentral's name for it is "partial 16S ribosomal RNA". It matches the Rfam family "Bacterial small subunit ribosomal RNA", at positions 524 to 776 of the family's 1533-position model. The record is from RNAcentral.